CUCUGUGGCCAUGCCACUCUGAACAAGCCUGAUUCUGUCUGAUUUCGGAAGCUAAGCAAGGUCAGGCCUGGUUAGAACUUAGAUGAGAGACCACCUAGGAAGACCAGGUGCUGUGACCA
RNAcentral lists this ribosomal RNA (119 nucleotides) under Pteropus alecto (black flying fox). The record is from RNAcentral. Lineage: Eukaryota; Metazoa; Chordata; Mammalia; Chiroptera; Pteropodidae.